AGCAGUAGCCACGGGAAUACGGAGGGGGCUAGCGUUGUUCGGAAUUACUGGGCGUAAAGCGCACGUAGGCGGCUUGGUAAGUUAGAGGUGAAAGCCUGGAGCUCAACUCCAGAAUUGCCUUUAAGACUGCCGAGCUAGCAGGUGAGAGAGGUAAGUGGAAUUCCGAGUGUAGAGGUGAAAUUCGUAGAUAUUCGGAAGAACACCAGUGGCGAAGGCGGCUUACUGGCUCAUACUGGACGCUGAGGUGCGAAAGCGUGGGGAGCAAACAGGAUUAGAUACCCCCGUAGUCCCUGUCUCUUAUAC
This 303-nucleotide ribosomal RNA is filed under the name uncultured bacterium. Its description in RNAcentral is "partial 16S ribosomal RNA". It matches the Rfam family "Bacterial small subunit ribosomal RNA", at positions 507 to 807 of the family's 1533-position model. The record is from RNAcentral.